GAAGCACGCACUGCAUUUGCUUCUGGUGCAUCUGCUGCAGCUGCUGGAGCUGCGCCAAGUGCUGUUCGCGGAAGCUCAUGAAGCCCGAGGAGGAGGGGGCCGCGGGAGUCGUCGAGCUCGAGUACCCGGGCCCCGGCGAGGCCUCAGGAAGCGCCACUGGCGGCGGCGGUGGGACCGGUGGCGGCGGAUAGUGGCUGCUCCCGCCAUACCGGCCCCAAUUCGGGUACAUAUCGAAAAAGAAGGCGCAGGGCUCGUCCUGGCGCCGUUACUCGUCGCAACCGACCUCCAGGAGCCGCGGCGGCGACGGCGACAGCCGGAACUCGCGGCGCCUACAGGCCCCGGAGCGUGUAAACGGAGCGCGCCAGUGCGCCGGCGCUCCCGAGCUGGGCCCGCGACCGGGAAGGCGGGGACGCGACUUGGGCGACUACGUCUGCGCAGUAACCACCGAGAGGAGAACAAAGGCGAGAUAGAGCGGUCCUUUACUUGGCGACUCGUGGUUGCCAUCUUCCUUUGGGUUCAGAUAAUGUAGGCUCCAGUAGAAUGUUCUCAUAGAACUGAAAAACCAUAGAGUCUCACAGCCGAAAGAGGUGGUAGAGAUCCUAUCGCUCCACGGGUUCAUUUUUGAAUGAAAAAAAAAAAAGGUUCCAUUCACAAUAGCAACAAUCGCAACAACAACAAAAAAACAUAAAGCAACUAGGAAAAACUCUAACAAGAAAGAUGUAGGACUUAUAUGUAGAAAGCUACAGAGUCAUAAAGAAGCAUAUCCAAGUAGGAUGAAAUUAGACUUCAAAUAAUGGAGAGGCUUACCAUGAUCCUGGGUGAAAAGAGGAAAAAUUGUAAAGAUGUCAGUUUCUCCCAAAUUAAAUGAAUAGACCUAACUCAAUUCUCCCCAGAAAUUCAACUGGGAACAAAGCUGUGAAGAAUGGAAAGGUGUUUUCAAGGCAGAGUGUAAGAUUACACCAAUUCCUGCAGACAUAUAGUGAGUAACAUCUGCAGGAAUUGUAGAAGGGGAGAAAUGGAAUUUUUUAGACUGUCUCAACACAUAUAAAUCGGUGUUGCAGAAUCUCAGAGCAAAAGCAAAGAGAGCAAAAACCAGAUACAAAGAUGGUCUAAAGACAACCUGGAAGAU
This 1129-nucleotide long non-coding RNA is filed under the name Homo sapiens (human). RNAcentral describes it as "non-protein coding lnc-AREL1-2:2". The record is from RNAcentral. Lineage: Eukaryota; Metazoa; Chordata; Mammalia; Primates; Hominidae.